RNAcentral lists this ribosomal RNA (2933 nucleotides) under Escherichia coli. RNAcentral's name for it is "bacterial LSU rRNA". It matches the Rfam family "Bacterial large subunit ribosomal RNA". The record is from RNAcentral. Lineage: Bacteria; Pseudomonadati; Pseudomonadota; Gammaproteobacteria; Enterobacterales; Enterobacteriaceae.
GGGUUGUGAGGUUAAGCGACUAAGCGUACACGGUGGAUGCCCAGGCAGUCAGAGGCGAUGAAGGACGUGCUAAUCUGCGAUAAGCGUCGGUAAGGUGAUAUGAACCGUUAUAACCGGCGAUUUCCGAAUGGGGAAACCCAGUGUGUUUCGACACACUAUCAUUAACUGAAUCCAUAGGUUAAUGAGGCGAACCGGGGGAACUGAAACAUCUAAGUACCCCGAGGAAAAGAAAUCAACCGAGAUUCCCCCAGUAGCGGCGAGCGAACGGGGAGCAGCCCAGAGCCUGAAUCAGUGUGUGUGUUAGUGGAAGCGUCUGGAAAGGCGCGCGAUACAGGGUGACAGCCCCGUACACAAAAAUGCACAUGCUGUGAGCUCGAUGAGUAGGGCGGGACACGUGGUAUCCUGUCUGAAUAUGGGGGGACCAUCCUCCAAGGCUAAAUACUCCUGACUGACCGAUAGUGAACCAGUACCGUGAGGGAAAGGCGAAAAGAACCCCGGCGAGGGGAGUGAAAAAGAACCUGAAACCGUGUACGUACAAGCAGUGGGAGCACGCUUAGGCGUGUGACUGCGUACCUUUUGUAUAAUGGGUCAGCGACUUAUAUUCUGUAGCAAGGUUAACCGAAUAGGGGAGCCGAAGGGAAACCGAGUCUUAACUGGGCGUUAAGUUGCAGGGUAUAGACCCGAAACCCGGUGAUCUAGCCAUGGGCAGGUUGAAGGUUGGGUAACACUAACUGGAGGACCGAACCGACUAAUGUUGAAAAAUUAGCGGAUGACUUGUGGCUGGGGGUGAAAGGCCAAUCAAACCGGGAGAUAGCUGGUUCUCCCCGAAAGCUAUUUAGGUAGCGCCUCGUGAAUUCAUCUCCGGGGGUAGAGCACUGUUUCGGCAAGGGGGUCAUCCCGACUUACCAACCCGAUGCAAACUGCGAAUACCGGAGAAUGUUAUCACGGGAGACACACGGCGGGUGCUAACGUCCGUCGUGAAGAGGGAAACAACCCAGACCGCCAGCUAAGGUCCCAAAGUCAUGGUUAAGUGGGAAACGAUGUGGGAAGGCCCAGACAGCCAGGAUGUUGGCUUAGAAGCAGCCAUCAUUUAAAGAAAGCGUAAUAGCUCACUGGUCGAGUCGGCCUGCGCGGAAGAUGUAACGGGGCUAAACCAUGCACCGAAGCUGCGGCAGCGACGCUUAUGCGUUGUUGGGUAGGGGAGCGUUCUGUAAGCCUGUGAAGGUGUGCUGUGAGGCAUGCUGGAGGUAUCAGAAGUGCGAAUGCUGACAUAAGUAACGAUAAAGCGGGUGAAAAGCCCGCUCGCCGGAAGACCAAGGGUUCCUGUCCAACGUUAAUCGGGGCAGGGUGAGUCGACCCCUAAGGCGAGGCCGAAAGGCGUAGUCGAUGGGAAACAGGUUAAUAUUCCUGUACUUGGUGUUACUGCGAAGGGGGGACGGAGAAGGCUAUGUUGGCCGGGCGACGGUUGUCCCGGUUUAAGCGUGUAGGCUGGUUUUCCAGGCAAAUCCGGAAAAUCAAGGCUGAGGCGUGAUGACGAGGCACUACGGUGUUGAAGCAACAAAUGCCCUGCUUCCAGGAAAAGCCUCUAAGCAUCAGGUAACAUCAAAUCGUACCCCAAACCGACACAGGUGGUCAGGUAGAGAAUACCAAGGCGCUUGAGAGAACUCGGGUGAAGGAACUAGGCAAAAUGGUGCCGUAACUUCGGGAGAAGGCACGCUGAUAUGUAGGUGAAGUCCCUCGCGGAUGGAGCUGAAAUCAGUCGAAGAUACCAGCUGGCUGCAACUGUUUAUUAAAAACACAGCACUGUGCAAACACGAAAGUGGACGUAUACGGUGUGACGCCUGCCCGGUGCCGGAAGGUUAAUUGAUGGGGUUAGCCGCAAGGCGAAGCUCUUGAUCGAAGCCCCGGUAAACGGCGGCCGUAACUAUAACGGUCCUAAGGUAGCGAAAUUCCUUGUCGGGUAAGUUCCGACCUGCACGAAUGGCGUAAUGAUGGCCAGGCUGUCUCCACCCGAGACUCAGUGAAAUUGAACUCGCUGUGAAGAUGCAGUGUACCCGCGGCAAGACGGAAAGACCCCGUGAACCUUUACUAUAGCUUGACACUGAACAUUGAGCCUUGAUGUGUAGGAUAGGUGGGAGGCUUAGAAGUGUGGACGCCAGUCUGCAUGGAGCCGACCUUGAAAUACCACCCUUUAAUGUUUGAUGUUCUAACGUUGACCCGUAAUCCGGGUUGCGGACAGUGUCUGGUGGGUAGUUUGACUGGGGCGGUCUCCUCCUAAAGAGUAACGGAGGAGCACGAAGGUUGGCUAAUCCUGGUCGGACAUCAGGAGGUUAGUGCAAUGGCAUAAGCCAGCUUGACUGCGAGCGUGACGGCGCGAGCAGGUGCGAAAGCAGGUCAUAGUGAUCCGGUGGUUCUGAAUGGAAGGGCCAUCGCUCAACGGAUAAAAGGUACUCCGGGGAUAACAGGCUGAUACCGCCCAAGAGUUCAUAUCGACGGCGGUGUUUGGCACCUCGAUGUCGGCUCAUCACAUCCUGGGGCUGAAGUAGGUCCCAAGGGUAUGGCUGUUCGCCAUUUAAAGUGGUACGCGAGCUGGGUUUAGAACGUCGUGAGACAGUUCGGUCCCUAUCUGCCGUGGGCGCUGGAGAACUGAGGGGGGCUGCUCCUAGUACGAGAGGACCGGAGUGGACGCAUCACUGGUGUUCGGGUUGUCAUGCCAAUGGCACUGCCCGGUAGCUAAAUGCGGAAGAGAUAAGUGCUGAAAGCAUCUAAGCACGAAACUUGCCCCGAGAUGAGUUCUCCCUGACUCCUUGAGAGUCCUGAAGGAACGUUGAAGACGACGACGUUGAUAGGCCGGGUGUGUAAGCGCAGCGAUGCGUUGAGCUAACCGGUACUAAUGAACCGUGAGGCUUAACCUUACAACGCCGAAGGUGUUU